CGUAGGGUGCGAGCGUUAAUCGGAAUUACUGGGCGUAAAGCGUGCGCAGGCGGUUUUGUAAGACAGGCGUGAAAUCCCCGGGCUCAACCUGGGAACUGCGUUUGUGACUGCAAGGCUAGAGUAUGGCAGAGGGGGUGGAAUUCCACGUGUAGCAGUGAAAUGCGUAGAGAUGUGGAGGAACACCGAUGGCGAAGGCAGCCCCCUGGGCCAAUACUGACGCUCAUGCACGAAAGCGUGGGUAGCAAACAGGAUUAGAUACCCUGGUAGUCCACGCCCUAAACGAUGUCAACUAGGUGUUGGGUGGGUAAAACCAUUAAGUACCGGAGCUAACGCGUGAAGUUGACCGCCUGGGGAGUACGGCCGCAAGGUUA
This 371-nucleotide ribosomal RNA is filed under the name uncultured organism. RNAcentral's name for it is "bacterial SSU rRNA". It matches the Rfam family "Bacterial small subunit ribosomal RNA", at positions 526 to 896 of the family's 1533-position model. The record is from RNAcentral.